This 429-nucleotide ribosomal RNA is filed under the name Gemmatimonadota bacterium. RNAcentral's name for it is "Gemmatimonadetes bacterium partial 16S ribosomal RNA". It matches the Rfam family "Bacterial small subunit ribosomal RNA", at positions 355 to 776 of the family's 1533-position model. Lineage: Bacteria; Pseudomonadati; Gemmatimonadota. The record is from RNAcentral.
UAGGGAAUCUUCGGCAAUGGACGAAAGUCUGACCGGGCAACGCCGCGUGAGUGAAGAAGGUUUUCGGAUCGUAAAACUCUGUUGUUAGAGAAGAACAAGGACGUUAGUAACUGAACGUCCCCUGACGGUAUCUAACCAGAAAGCCACGGCUAACUACGUGCCAGCAGCCGCGGUAAUACGUAGGUGGCAAGCGUUGUCCGGAUUUAUUGGGCGUAAAGCGAGCGCAGGCGGUUUCUUAAGUCUGAUGUGAAAGCCCCCGGCUCAACCGGGGAGGGUCAUUGGAAACUGGGAGACUUGAGUGCAGAAGAGGAGAGUGGAAUUCCAUGUGUAGCGGUGAAAUGCGUAGAUAUAUGGAGGAACACCAGUGGCGAAGGCGGCUCUCUGGUCUGUAACUGACGCUGAGGCUCGAAAGCGUGGGGAGCAAACAGG